RNAcentral lists this ribosomal RNA (253 nucleotides) under uncultured bacterium. RNAcentral describes it as "partial 16S ribosomal RNA". It matches the Rfam family "Bacterial small subunit ribosomal RNA", at positions 524 to 776 of the family's 1533-position model. The record is from RNAcentral.
UACGAGAGGCCCAACCGUUAUUCGGAAUUACUGGGCUUAAAGAGUUCGUAGGCGGCAUGAAAAGCAGGGUGUGAAAGCCCUCGGCUCAACCGAGGAAUUGCGCUCUGAACUGUCGUGCUUGAGGAACCUAGAGGUGAGCAGAACAGAUGGUGGAGCGGUGAAAUGCGUUGAUAUCAUCUGGAAUACCGGAGGCGAAGGCGGCUCACUGGGGGUUUUCUGACGCUGAGGAACGAAAGCCAGGGUAGCGAACGGG